GAGGGUACAGCUCAGUGGUAGAGCACAUGCUUUGCAUGCAUAAGGUCCUGGGUUCAAUCCCCAGUACCUCUU
Molecule: transfer RNA, 72 nt
Filed under: Camelus bactrianus (Bactrian camel)
Lineage: Eukaryota; Metazoa; Chordata; Mammalia; Artiodactyla; Camelidae
Also listed under: 1 other name
Rfam family: tRNA
About the family: Transfer RNA (tRNA) molecules are approximately 80 nucleotides in length.
Source: Rfam by way of RNAcentral